This 1372-nucleotide ribosomal RNA is filed under the name uncultured bacterium. Its description in RNAcentral is "bacterial SSU rRNA". It matches the Rfam family "Bacterial small subunit ribosomal RNA". The record is from RNAcentral.
AGAGUUUGAUCCUGGCUCAGAACGAACGCUGGCGGCGUGCCUAAUACAUGCAAGUCGAGCGAGCGGAAAGAGACUUCGGUCAAUGGAAGCUUUGACUUAGUGGCGGACGGGUGAGUAACGCGUGGGUAACCUGCCUCACACAGGGGGAUAACAGUCAGAAAUGACUGCUAAUACCGCAUAAGCGCACAGUACCGCAUGGUACGGUGCGAAAAACUCCGGUGGUGUGAGAUGGACCCGCGUCUGAUUAGGUAGUUGGUGGGGCAACGGCCCACCAAGGCGACGAUCCAUAGCCGACCUGAGAGGGUGACCGGCCACAUUGGGACUGAGACACGGCCCAAACUCCUACGGGAGGCAGCAGUGGGGAAUAUUGCACAAUGGGCGAAAGCCUGAUGCAGCGACGCCGCGUGAGUGAUGAAGUAUUUCGGUAUGUAAAGCUCUAUCAGCAGGGAAGAAAAAUGACGGUACCUGACUAAGAAGCACCGGCUAAAUACGUGCCAGCAGCCGCGGUAAUACGUAUGGUGCAAGCGUUAUCCGGAUUUACUGGGUGUAAAGGGAGCGCAGGCGGUACGGCAAGUCUGAUGUGAAAGCCCGGGGCUCAACCUCGGUACUGCAUUGGAAACUGUCGAACUAGAGUGUCGGAGGGGUAAGUGGAAUUCCUAGUGUAGCGGUGAAAUGCGUAGAUAUUAGGAGGAACACCAGUGGCGAAGGCGGCUUACUGGACGAUAACUGACGCUGAGGCUCGAAAGCGUGGGGAGCAAGCAGGAUUAGAUACCCUGGUAGUCCACGCCGUAAACGAUGAAUACUAGAUGUUGGAAUUUUCAGUGUCACAGCUAACGCAAUAAGUACUCCGCCUGAGGAGUAUGCACGCAAGUGUAAAACUUAAAGGAAUUGACGGGGCCCCGCACAAGCGGUGGAGUAUGUGGUUUAAUUCGACGCAACGCGAAGAACCUUACCAGGCCUUGACAUCCCCUGCAAAACUAUAGAGAUAUAGCAGAGGUUAUCAGGGUGACAGGUGGUGCAUGGUUGUCGUCAGCUCGUGUCGUGAGAUGUUGGGUUAAGUCCCGCAACGAGCGCAACCCUUGUCUUUAGUUACCAUCAUUAAGUUGGGGACUCUAGAGAGACUGCCGGUGACAAACCGGAGGAAGGUGGGGAUGACGUCAAAUCAUCAUGCCCUUUAUGGCCUGGGCUACACACGUACUACAAUGGCGUAUACAGCAAGAUGCAAUACCGUAAGGUGGAGCAAAACUUAUAAAAUACGUCUCAGUUCGGAUUGAGGUCUGCAACUCGACCUCAUGAAGUUGGAAUCGCUAGUAAUCGCGAAUCAGCAUGUCGCGGUGAAUACGUUCCCGGGCCUUGCACACACCGCCCGUCA